This 467-nucleotide ribosomal RNA is filed under the name uncultured bacterium. Its description in RNAcentral is "partial 16S ribosomal RNA". It matches the Rfam family "Bacterial small subunit ribosomal RNA", at positions 28 to 507 of the family's 1533-position model. The record is from RNAcentral.
GACGAACGCUGGCGGCGUGCUUAACACAUGCAAGUCGAACGGAAAGGCCUCUUUCGGGGGGUACUCGAGUGGCGAACGGGUGAGUAACACGUGAGUAACCUGCCCUUGACUUUGGGAUAACUUCAGGAAACUGGGGCUAAUACCGGAUAGGAGCUCCUGCUGCAUGGUGGAGGUUGGAAAGUUUCGGCGGUUGGGGAUGGACUCGCGGCUUAUCAGCUUGUUGGUGGGGUAGUGGCUUACCAAGGCUUUGACGGGUAGCCGGCCUGAGAGGGUGACCGGCCACAUUGGGACUGAGAUACGGCCCAGACUCCUACGGGAGGCAGCAGUGGGGAAUAUUGCACAAUGGGUGGAAGCCUGAUGCAGCAACGCCGGGUGCGGGAUGACGGCCUUCGGGUUGUAAACCGCUUUCGCUCAUGACGAAGCUUUGUGUGACGGUAGUGGGUAAAGAAGCACCGGCUAACUACGUG